RNAcentral lists this ribosomal RNA (699 nucleotides) under Corynebacterium tuscaniense. RNAcentral describes it as "partial 23S ribosomal RNA". It matches the Rfam family "Bacterial large subunit ribosomal RNA", at positions 1 to 654 of the family's 2925-position model. The record is from RNAcentral. Lineage: Bacteria; Bacillati; Actinomycetota; Actinomycetes; Mycobacteriales; Corynebacteriaceae.
GUGUUUGUUACUUAAGGGCGCAUGGUGGAUGCCUUGGCAUGCUGAGCCGAUGAAGGACGUGUGAGACUGCGUUAUGCCUCGGGGAGUUGUCAACAAAGCGUUGAUCCGAGGGUGUCCGAAUGGGGAAACCUGGCCACAGUUGUGUGUGGUCGCCUGCUGGUGAAUUCAUAGCCGGUUGGGAGGUGACGUCGGGAAGUGAAACAUCUCAGUACCGACAGGAGAGGAAAAUAAGAAUGAUUCUGCUAGUAGCGGCGAGCGAACGUGGAGGAGGCUAAACCGUGUGCGUGUGAUACCUGGCAGGGGUUGCGUGUGCGGUGUUGUGGGGUGCGGUUGUGGUGUUCUGCCAGGCACCGGUGCGCAUUGUUGUGUUAGCGGAAGUGGCCUGGGAUGGUCUACCGGAGUGGGUGAGAGUCCCGUACGUGAAGACAUGGUGGUGUGUGCUUGAUUGUGUCCCCGAGUAGCAGCGGGCUCGUGGAAUCUGCUGUGAAUCUGCCGGGACCACCCGGUAAGCCUAAAUACUCAGUGUGACCGAUAGUGAAUUAAGUACCGUGAGGGAAUGGUGAAAAGUACCCCGGGAGGGGAGUGAAAUAGUUCCUGAAACUGUGUGCCUACAAUCCGUCAGAGCACCUCUUGUGUGUGAUGGCGUGCCUUUUGAAGAAUGAGCCUGCGAGUCAGCGGCAUGUCGCGAGGUUAACCCGU